Molecule: long non-coding RNA, 1153 nt
Organism: Megachile rotundata (alfalfa leafcutting bee)
Lineage: Eukaryota; Metazoa; Arthropoda; Insecta; Hymenoptera; Megachilidae
Source: RefSeq, a predicted model, not a curated record
GAGCAGAAGAAAAGAUAGCGACUUCUGCGAAUGUGGGUUUCAGAAGGUCCAGUAAGUUCCGACAAAGGAUCAGGUUCUUGGAAGGUUCAUUGAAGAAAACUGAAGUCCUUUCAUCUGAGAAACAAAGAUUAACUUUAGAAAAGAGAAAGAUUAAGAAAUGAAGUCUAAUCCUUGAAGAGCAGAAAUUCGGAUGAACAGGAAAGAAUUUGAAGGGUGACCUCACGGUUCCCGAGGAUUUUUGGUUAUCGGCGUUGAAGGGGGCGGCAGAAACGGAGAAACGAGGGGAGACACGGCUGAUUAUGAAAGGUUUUUGUCGCGUUGGCGCCAGCGGGUCGAAGGCGACGUUCUCCUCUUCCUCUUCCACGGCUUCGAAUAGCUAAAAUCAUCCCGCGUGCCAAUUUCAAAGCAGCGCCACGGACCCUGGGGUUUCAUGGAAAAAAAGAAAAGGAGGAGCGGCCGUCUCUCGUUACACAUCCGUAGCACGGUGCAUUUAGCGUGACUGCAGUCGAACGACGGUACGCGAUGCAUGUACUACGCACCGAUUGUGAGCUUAGAAAUCGGGGGAGGAGUCAAUGGUUUCCCAUACGUCCUAGAAGAAGCAGAAAGUCAGGAAAUAUAAAGCAAAAGGAAGAAAAAUAUGAAAGGUGAACGAAGAAAAUUGUAAGGUGAUUAAAGAUGUAAAAGAGAAAUGAAGGUAGAAAGAAAAAGAAUUGUGUUUCGCGACAAGUUAUACGUUUGAAUGAUAGAGCUAAGUUGUAAUGGUUCCACCCAACUGUGAGACGACAUCAGAGAACAGCUGUUCCAACGAAAAGGAGCAGUCAGUAGCAUGCAUGACGUGAUGCACCGUCACGAAUGCAAGUGCGACUGUCACACCUGGCCACAACUGUCCCUCUAUUCUUAGCUUUCGGAAUUCAUCUUGAAGCAGACGUCCAUUGAAAAGCAUCACCUGCACCUAUUCUUCAUCAUCCAAUAGAGCUCGAGAAAUACCUGCACAGGUGAGGCUUCCCUUGCAGCGAUUGGUCAACGUCGACGAAGAGGAGAACUGAAGCAAAAUGGCGUGGACCUCUGCAACUAAAGAAACCCUUGCUUCUUAAAAUUAUUUGUAAUAUCUUGCUACAUCAUUAAAUUUAUUCGUAAUCUUUUAAGUCCAUUA